GGAAAGAAGAGCUCUAGAAAGAAGGAUAUCUGAAAUGGAAGAGGAACUAAAAAUGUUACCAGACCUGAAGGCAGACAACCAGAGACUAAAAGAUGAAAAUGGGGCCUUGAUCAGAGUUAUAAGCAAACUUUCCAAAUAAAGGGUUUACUACAGCAGCGAAUAACGGUAUUGCACAUCACUAGUAACUCCAGUGGACCACAGUAUGGCAGUCACUGGAAGUGUGGGAAGAUCCCUUGGAGACUGUCAUUUUUCAGAUAUCCUGCCAAACGCCCUCUUACCUGUGUGUUUUUUUGUAUCAAGAUCAUUGUUUCUGUUAAAAUGCAGCUGCUGAGAAGAUGAAAUGACUGAGAAAUCUUGUUUACAGCUACAGCGUAAUAAGGAAAGUGUUCAAGGCCAGAUAUGCCUCAGAUAUUUAACCAGUAAGCCUUAGUUGUACAUAAACACUUUUACAUCAACAAAAGCUUUCAGCUCUCACAGAAGACAGUUACUCAAUAAUGUUUUUGUUGUGCCACAAUUCCCAGGUUUUUUCUAUACUCAGUUUUUCUUUAAACCUUAAGGGUUUGGUUUUUUUUCCCUUCUAAUUAUUCAUGUACCAGAUUGUCUUGUACAGUGUUUUCACAGCUUUACCAUUUGCAGAGACCACACACCCUUUUAAAUUACAUAUUUGUGUAGCUACCUAGAGAUGUAUUGUCCAGCCACCUGGAACAGAGAUGCUUGGUGGAACAUUUGCUUUCACUGUUUGUGCAAUAUGCAUUUAUUUCCUAUACAAAAUGCUUUAAAAGUCAGUUGAAACUAGAAAUAUUUUAAGAGUCCUGUUUUCUGCCUUUAUUGGUCACUUUAAAAAUAAAAAAAUAAAAAAAAAAGUUUGUAGUGAAAGAUGUUAGAUCCUGUAAUCGUCACAUUCAUUUGAGCAGGUACUGAGUGAUGCUGUAUAUAUAUAAAUGUGUACUGGUUUGAUUUUUCAGACCACCACGUGGCAUGCUUGAAUAUAUUUCCCUAUUGCAAAUGUCUGUUAAUGCAAAUUAGGCUACUCCAGAAUAGUGUGUUUAACAAAGUUCAUUAAUUUUUAUGGUAUAAAGAAUUUAGACAUUGUACAUUGUAUGGAGCCCUAUCUUUACAAAAGGUCUAAACUAUAUAAAAUACUUUAUUAUCUUUUCCUCCCUUUUUUUUUUAAUUUGAUAGUGUUCACCAUAAUAAAAAAUUGCAUAAAUAUAACUGCUUCACUACAUUUCACAUACCUGUAUUUAUCUGAGUGCUGUCCAAAACUGUUGUGCUAGCCAAAGUAAUGUACUAAAUCAUCUGAGAAACAUAACCCAUUACACUCACAUUAAUGUUUAUAUGCACUGUUGCUGCCAUGUGAGAAGGCAUCCAAUUUGAUAACACCAUCAUGUCAGACCAUUUUAUACAUUUCAGUGGCCUUUAAAAACAAAGAAAGUACUUAAGUGAAGAUCGCUUUUGUUAGAAACAGCUUUUAUAUUUUCACUAAACCAUUCAAACUACGACAUCCUAUCGGCACAUAGUUUAUUGCCUAAAACCACUGAGCAGAUCAGCCAUUAAAACAAAUUGUACAUUGUAAAGCUUGUAGUAGCUAUUGUAUUAUUAUUAUAUUGUAUACUAUAUUAAAUGUGAAUUUGUACCCCUUCAUUUAAAAAGGUCAUUGUGUUCUACUGCCGACUUGGGGGGCGGGGGGUAGUUUUUUGGGACUGGGAUAUGUUUUGGUAAGGAAGACAUGAUGUCCUCUCUGUUGAUUGGUUUUUUGAAGAUGUAAGGUUAUGCUCUUACUACCAAGCUCAGGAUUCUUGAUUUUAAAGGUACACAGAUAGUUUGAGAUAUCUUAUUGUAACUGAUCUGUAUGAGAGGUGGGUCUGAACCAUAGGGACUUCCAUUGUCUUACGCUAACAUAAAAUAAAGAAUUGAAUGGCUGCAACGUAUUGAGUUCUGUUACAAGACAGUUAGGCAUAUUCUGGAUUAUAUUUGGUAAAGUUUGGGUGCCUGUGAAUGAUUAAAUACGUGUUUCUAAUAUUUUAGUGUUUUAUAUUUAGGUUAUUUAUUCUUUAUAUCUAAAAAAUGAAUGGCUACUGUGCUAUAUUGAUUUUAUUGGUAGUACUGAGCAGACCUUGUAUCUGCAUGAAACUAGUUGCAAAACCCACUAUUUUGGAAAAAAAAAAAUUGUAUUUUGACAUAUACAAAUAAAAUGAAUACAAACUA
Nestor notabilis (Kea) is the source of this 2208-nucleotide long non-coding RNA. RefSeq lists it as uncharacterized. The transcript is spliced from 2 exons. The record is from RefSeq and is a predicted model, not a curated record. Lineage: Eukaryota; Metazoa; Chordata; Aves; Psittaciformes; Psittacidae.